CCUACGGGAGGCAGCAGUGGGGAAUAUUGCACAAUGGACGAAAGUCUGAUGCAGCAACGCCGCGUGAGGGACGAAGGCCUUCGGGUUGUAAACCUCUUUUAGCAGGGAAGAAGCGAAAGUGACGGUACCUGCAGAAAAAGCACCGGCUAACUACGUGCCAGCAGCCGCGGUAAUACGUAGGGUGCAAGCGUUGUCCGGAAUUAUUGGGCGUAAAGAGCUCGUAGGCGGUUUGUCGCGUCUGCUGUGAAAUUUCGAGGCUCAACCUCGAACUUGCAGUGGGUACGGGCAGGCUAGAGUGCAGUAGGGGAGAUGGGAAUUCCUGGUGUAGCGGUGGAAUGCGCAGAUAUCAGGAGGAACACCAAUGGCGAAGGCACAUCUCUGGGCUGUAACUGACGCUGAGGAGCGAAAGCGUGGGGAGCGAACAGGAUUAGAUACCCUGGUAGUCCACGCCGUAAACGGUGGGUGCUAGCUGUGGGCCACAUUCCACGUGGUCCGUGACGAAGUUAACACAUUAWGCACCCCGCCUGGGGAGUACGGCCGCMAGGCUAAAACUCAAAGGAAUUGACGGGG
RNAcentral lists this ribosomal RNA (570 nucleotides) under uncultured bacterium. RNAcentral describes it as "bacterial SSU rRNA". It matches the Rfam family "Bacterial small subunit ribosomal RNA", at positions 338 to 918 of the family's 1533-position model. The record is from RNAcentral.